GAGCCCGUGGCUUAAUGGUAGAGCGUUCGACUCAAAUACCAAAGGUCGCGGGUU
RNAcentral lists this transfer RNA (54 nucleotides) under Schistocephalus solidus. It matches the Rfam family "tRNA", at positions 1 to 53 of the family's 71-position model. From Rfam's summary of the family: Transfer RNA (tRNA) molecules are approximately 80 nucleotides in length. Their secondary structure includes four short double-helical elements and three loops (D, anti-codon, and T loops). Further hydrogen bonds mediate the characteristic L-shaped molecular structure. tRNAs have two regions of fundamental functional importance: the anti-codon, which is responsible for specific mRNA codon recognition, and the 3' end, to which the tRNAs corresponding amino acid is attached (by aminoacyl-tRNA synthetases). tRNAs cope with the degeneracy of the genetic code in two manners: having more than one tRNA (with a specific anti-codon) for a particular amino acid; and 'wobble' base-pairing, i.e. permitting non-standard base-pairing at the 3rd anti-codon position. The record is from Rfam by way of RNAcentral. Lineage: Eukaryota; Metazoa; Platyhelminthes; Cestoda; Diphyllobothriidea; Diphyllobothriidae.